RNAcentral lists this long non-coding RNA (199 nucleotides) under Volvox carteri. Its description in RNAcentral is "long non-coding RNA (VCAR_LNC002220)". The record is from RNAcentral. Lineage: Eukaryota; Viridiplantae; Chlorophyta; Chlorophyceae; Chlamydomonadales; Volvocaceae.
CGGCUAGGACCCGUACGCCAUAUGAGCGUGUGAGCGUUUUCCGGUGGGCGCGGGCGCUCGCUGGUGUGCGAUGUUGCGAGGGCGUGAUCGCCAAUUCUUCCACCGUUAACAACACCAUUACAACGGCCAUUUGUUGUGCCAGAAUGGCGCCAAAAUGCGCAUGAAAGCCGCAUACAGUAACCCAGGAAGAUGAAGAUGA